RNAcentral lists this ribosomal RNA (2794 nucleotides) under Acidobacteriota bacterium. RNAcentral describes it as "partial 23S ribosomal RNA". It matches the Rfam family "Bacterial large subunit ribosomal RNA", at positions 757 to 2500 of the family's 2925-position model. Lineage: Bacteria; Pseudomonadati; Acidobacteriota. The record is from RNAcentral.
UAAGACCCCGUGGAGGACCGAACCGACUUAGGUUGAAAACUGAGCGGAUGACCUGUGGGUCGGAGUGAAAGGCUAAUCAAACUCAGAGAUAUCUGGUUCUCCCCGAAAUAUAUUUAGGUAUAGCGUCGUGCGUUCAAUAACAGUUGUAGAGCACUGUUCGGGCUAGGGGGCCUACCAGCUUACCGACCUCGGGCAAACUCCGAAUGCUGUUAUUCCAGAGCACGGCAGUCAGAGUGCGGGGGAUAAGCUUCGUGCUCGAAAGGGAAACAGCCCAGACCGUCGGCUAAGGUCCCUAAUUCCUAGCUAAGUGGGAAACGAUGUCCGAUUGCUGAGACAACCAGGAUGUUGGCUUAGAAGCAGCCACCAUUCAAAGAGUGCGUAACAGCUCACUGGUCAAGUGGUCGGGCGCGGACAAUUCAACGGGGCUCAAGCUAGGAACCGAAGCCACGGACUUCACGCUUGCGUGGAGUGGUAGGGGAGCGUUCCCAUGCCGGUGAAGCGGCGGCGUAAGCCAGCCGUGGAGACAUGGGAAGUGAGAAUGCUGGCACGAGUAACGAAAGACGAGUGAGAAACUCGUCCGCCGAAUGCCCAAGGGUUCCUGAGUAAAGCUAAUCUGCUCAGGGUUAGUCGGGACCUAAGCCGAGGCCGACAGGCGUAGGCGAUGGCGAACAGGUUGAUAUUCCUGUACCACGUAGCCACCGUUAUGACCAAUGGCGGGACGGGGUAGGCUAAGGAAACCCUGGCGAUGGUCGACCAGGGGUAACCGCGUAGGGCGACCGGUAGGGAAAUCCGCCGGUCAUAAGCCUGAGACGGGAUGCCGAGCUCCACAAGGAGCGAAGUUCCUGAAGCCAUGCCUCCUAGAAAAGCGUCUAGGCAGGUGGCGCGUGCCCGUACCAAAACCGACACAGGUGGGCAGGUAGAGAAUACCCAGGCGAUCGGAAGAACCCUCGUUAAGGAACUCGGCAAAAUGGCCCCGUAACUUCGGGAGAAGGGGCGCCCCGGUAGGGUCUAGGCCUUUACGGCCAAAAGCCCGAGGGGGCCGCAGUGAAACGGCCCAAGCGACUGUUUACCAAAAACACAGGUCUCUGCGAAGUCGAAAGACGACGUAUAGGGGCUGACGCCUGCCCGGUGCCGGAAGGUCAAGGAGAGAGGUUAGCCUUCGGGCAAAGCCUUGAACCCAAGCCCCGGUAAACGGCGGCGGUAACUAUAACCGUCCUAAGGUGACAUGGCUGAAAAGGACAUGUGAAUGUCCUUGGAGGCAAACCGUUGCCCCCCGCGUUGGUAACGGCGCGGUGCGCAUUUGGCUAUAUGCUGGAAAACCCGUGUAUCCCGCACUACUAUGAUGUCCGGUCGGAUGUCUACAGUGACAACGUGACGGGUGCGGAAAAUCAGCAGGAAAGGCUGAUCGAGUUCCGUGGUUGGGUGAUCGGUUUUGUAGACGGAGAAGGAUGCUUCUCGAUCGGGCUCGUACGGCAACCACACCGUUCGGGCUGAAGGGGCUACAAAACCGGAUACCAGGUCUCGCAUGAUUUCGUGGUGACACAAGGCGCGAGCAGCGCCGAUUGUCUCCACGAGCUCCGCGAGUUCUUUGGAGCGGGAAAGGUGUACGUCAACCGGAGGAACGCCAACCACCGGGAGCAUCUCAACCGCUACGUCAUCUGUCGUCGCGAGGAUCUGCUCGAACGGGUUAUUCCGUUCUUUCGGCAGCAUCCUCUCCGAACGGCCAAACGGCUCGACUUUGAGAAGUUCGCUUACUGCGUCGAGUUGAUGGCCGGUGGGCACCACAAGACUCGAGACGGUCUCAUCGAGAUCGUCGAGGUGGUGCAGACGAUGAACCGGCGUAAACCCAGGCACGAGCUCAUCAGAAUCCUCAGAGGCCAUACGCCAGACAUCCAGGACACUGGAUGAUGAGAUGGUCCCGUCUGCAUGGCGACAUGCAGGGAUGCCAAUCCAAAGGAAGUUGGCGUCCGCCUAAUUGCGAUUAGGUAAGGCUGCUAGCGAAAUUCCUUGUCGGGUAAUCGAAUUGCCCGUACCGGCUCAUAACGGGGAAGCCCUCCUCGUAUGCGACGCUUCAAGGACGUCGUGACGCGAAAGGGUAAUCCCGUGGGAAGUCGGCUCUAUUCGAGCUUGACCCCGUAACGACUGAUCGUUCUUCGGAACGUGAGAUUGUGGUCUCUACCCUUCGGGGUAAAUCUACGGCCAUGAUCAAACGCCGGCACUUGAAAGAAGUGAAGGGAUAGUCUGCGCCUCUGGAAACAGAGGAAUAACGCGAAGUUCCGACCUGCACGAAUGGCGUAACGACUUGGGCGCUGUCUCAACGAGGGAUCCGGUGAAACUGUAGUCUCGGUGAAGAUGCCGAGUACCCGUGGUUGGACGGAAAGACCCCGUGAACCUUUACUGCAGCUUGAUGUUGGAGUCCGGGACAUGUUGUCCAGGAUAGGUGGGAGGCUGUGAAGCGCGGGCGCCAGCCCGCGUGGAGCCAUCCUUGGGAUACCACCCUUCGUGUUCUGGGCUUCUAACCCGAUGCCGUAAUCCGGGUCGGGAACAGCAUCAGGUGGGCAGUUUGACUGGGGCGGUCGCCUCCUAAAAUGUAACGGAGGCGCGCAAAGGUCCCCUCAGCACGGUUGGAAAUCGUGCAUAGAGUGCAAAAGCAGAAGGGGGCUUAACUGCGAGACUGACAAGUCGAGCAGGUGCGAAAGCAGGCUUUAGUGAUCCGGCGGUAGAGAGUGGAAUUGCCGUCGCUCAACGGAUAAAAGGUACUCCGGGGAUAACAGGCUUAUCCUUCCCAAGAGUC